ACGGAAGGCAGCAGUAGGGAAUAUUGCACAAUGGGGGAAACCCUGAUGCAGCAACGCCACGUGUGGGAAGACGCAUUUCGGUGUGUAAACCACUGUCGUGAGGGAAUAAGGACGCUUCUCGGAGCGUUUGAAUGUACUUUGAAAGGAAGCACCGGCAAACUUCGUGCCAGCAGCCGCGGUAAUACGGGGGGUGCAAGCGUUGUUCGGAAUCACUGGGCGUAAAGGGAGCGCAGGCGGAGAUGCAAGCAGUCUGUACAAUACCGGGGCCCAACCCCGGACCUGCAGACUGGACUGUUUCUCUUGGAUAGCUCAGGGGCUGGCGGAAUUCCUGGUGUAGCGGUGGAAUGCGUAGAGAUCAGGAAGAACACCGAUGGCGAAGGCAGCCAGCUGGGGGCUUAUCGACGCUCAUGCUCAAAAGUGCGGGUAGCAAACAGGAUUAGAUACCCUGGUA
Molecule: ribosomal RNA, 451 nt
Filed under: uncultured Fibrobacter sp.
Lineage: Bacteria; Pseudomonadati; Fibrobacterota; Fibrobacteria; Fibrobacterales; Fibrobacteraceae
Description: partial 16S ribosomal RNA
Rfam family: Bacterial small subunit ribosomal RNA
Source: RNAcentral